CUUAGAAGCAGCCAUACAUUAAAAGAGUGCGUAAUAGCUCACUGGUCGAGUGACCCUGCGCCGAAAAUUCAACGGGGCUAAAAUGUAAACCGAAGCUUGGGAUUCAUACUACUGAACAAAGCUGGUUCAGUGAGUUGAAUCUGGUCGAAGACAAAAUUCAACUAAAAAGCUGAAGCGAAAACCGAAUCGGUUUUGUUCAGUAGUAUGAGUGGUAGGAGAGCGUCGUGUAAGAGGAGAAGUCGGAGCGGAAGCGCCGGUGGAUUUUACACGAGUGAGAAUGCCGGAAUGAGUAGCGAGAAUUAUGUGAGAAUCAUGAUGGCCGAAAGUCUAAGGUUUCUUGAGGAAGGUUCGUCCGCUCAAGGUAAGCCGGGAGCUAAGGUGAGGCGGAAACGCGUAGCCGAUGCACAUACGGUAGAAAUUCCGUAGCCUCCAAAAGAUUAAAGCAGAAGGACACUUUGAAAGCGAUGUUGCCGGGCGUUGGUUGCCCCGGUCGUAAGGGACUGAAAUUAAGUAAGGAAGUCAUCGUAGACGAAGGCGAGAAAAGUUCUGUGUAUAUCUUCGGAGCCCGUACCGCAAACCGACACAGGUAGAUAGGAAGAAAAUUCUAAGGCCAACGGGAGAAGGGUAGUUAAGGAACUCGGCAAGUUGACCCCGUAACUUAGGGAUAAGGGGUGCUCAAGAAAUUGAGCCGCAGAGAAUAGGCCCAGGCGACUGUUUAGCAAAAACACAGCUCUAUGCUAAAUCGAAAGAUGAUGUAUAUGGGGUGACACCUGCCCGGUGCCGGAAGGUUAAGAGGAGGAGUGAGAGCUCUGAAUUGAAGCCCCGGUAAACGGCGGCCGUAACUAUAACGGUCCUAAGGUAGCGAAAUUCCUUGUCAGGUAAGUUCUGACCCGCACGAAUGGUGUAACGAUCUGGGCACUGUCUCAACUACCCGCCCGGCGAAAUUGUAGUACCGGUGAAGAUGCCGGUUACCCGCGACUAGACGGAAAGACCCCAUGGAGCUUUACUGUAGCUUAAUAUUGGAUUUCGGCAUUUCAUGUACAGGAUAGGUGGGAGACUAGGAAACAUAGGCGUCAGCUUAUGCGGAGUCGUCCUUGGGAUACCACUCUUGGAGUGCUGAAAUUCUAACCUGCAGCCCUGAAUCGGGUUGGGGGACAUUGUUAGGUGGGCAGUUUGACUGGGGCGGUCGCCUCCAAAAAGGUAACGGAGGCGCUCAAAGGUUGGCUCAGCAUGGAUGGAAACCAUGCUCUUGAGUGUAAACGCAAAAGCGAGCCUAACUGCGAGACUGACGGGUCGAGCAGUAACGAAAGUUGGAGUUAG
Molecule: ribosomal RNA, 1320 nt
Filed under: human gut metagenome
Description: bacterial LSU rRNA
Rfam family: Bacterial large subunit ribosomal RNA
Source: RNAcentral